UACGGAGGGUGCAAGCGUUAUCCGGAUUCACUGGGUUUAAAGGGUGUGUAGGCGGGCUUAUAAGUCAGCGGUGAAAUCUCCGGGCUCAACCCGGAAACUGCCAUUGAUACUAUAAGUCUUGAAUCUUGUUGAGGUAGGCGGAAUAUGUCAUGUAGCGGUGAAAUGCUUAGAUAUGACAUAGAACACCGAUUGCGAAGGCAGCUUACUAAGCAAGCAUUGACGCUGAGGCACGAAAGCGUGGGGAUCAAACAGG
RNAcentral lists this ribosomal RNA (253 nucleotides) under uncultured bacterium. RNAcentral's name for it is "partial 16S ribosomal RNA". It matches the Rfam family "Bacterial small subunit ribosomal RNA", at positions 524 to 776 of the family's 1533-position model. The record is from RNAcentral.